Molecule: long non-coding RNA, 828 nt
Filed under: Daphnia pulicaria
Lineage: Eukaryota; Metazoa; Arthropoda; Branchiopoda; Diplostraca; Daphniidae
Description: uncharacterized LOC124314318, transcript variant X2
Source: RNAcentral
CGACAGUCGACCAUUUUUUUUUCGAGUUUUUCACUGAGAGGAAAUGUAUUGUUGCUCAUUGCGGUUUACUUUUUGUUUUCCUUUUUCGUAAAAAAACGGUAAUAUAGACUGAAUUUCUACUUGGCAAUUUGAUCAUCUCAUCAGAUCUCAUCAUGUGGCCUUAUUAACUAACUGCUGGUCAUUUUCGAAGUAGGCAGAUGAUUUUGCCAAAAUGUCGCCUCAUGCAUGCCUCAUGCAACCUGUUCCGGAUGUACGUUUUGUCACAUGGAGAACAACCAACCAGAUUAAGUCUGGGCUUUCUUCAUUCCUGUCCAAGUUUGUUUCAUCACACAGAAAAAAACAAAAUAAGACUAGCAGGCAGUUGAAGUCUUAGCUUCACCUUCAUUGCAAUCUAAUACACACAUGGAUUUUUUCAGCCAGCCUGGUGAAUUUGACACAUACAGUGUUCUUAAUGUCACCUUUUAAAAUCUGGAACUUCAGCCAUCCAAUUGUUUUAAGCUGCAUGGAAUUCUCAUUUUCCUAUGCUGAGAACUUCAACAACAUGCACACCAAUUGAAUACCAGUUUAUCGCUUAUGCUUAUGUUGGAGGGAGGAUAUUUAAAGUUUGGAUAAAAAUUCAGUUAAUCUAUGACCCUACAAAUGUAUCCCUACCAAUCAAUCUCCAAACCCCACAAACAUAAUCAUUCCAAUCCUUCAAACCCUGAAAACAUACACCUACCAACUUUUAAAUUUAUACCCAUAACCCUAUAAACCGAUGUUAAACCUUAUCCAUAUAAUUCUGUAAUAAAUAAAAAUAAAUAUAUUAUAUGUACCAAUUUUUAUUUUAUU